UACGAAGGGUGCUAGCGUUGUUCGGAAUUACUGGGCGUAAAGCGCGCGUAGGCGGCUUUUCAAGUCAGGGGUGAAAUCCCACGGCUCAACCGUGGAAUUGCCUUUGAAACUGUGAAGCUAGAGUGUCGGAGGGGAUAGCGGAAUUGCUAAUGUAGAGGUGAAAUUCGUAGAUAUUAGCAGGAACACCGGUGGCGAAGGCGGCUAUCUGGACGACAACUGACGCUGAGGCGCGAAAGCUAGGGGAGCAAACAGG
RNAcentral lists this ribosomal RNA (253 nucleotides) under uncultured bacterium. Its description in RNAcentral is "partial 16S ribosomal RNA". It matches the Rfam family "Bacterial small subunit ribosomal RNA", at positions 524 to 776 of the family's 1533-position model. The record is from RNAcentral.